UACGUAGGGUGCAAGCGUUAAUCGGAAUUACUGGGCGUAAAGCGUGCGCAGGCGGUUAUAUAAGACAGAUGUGAAAUCCCCGGGCUCAACCUGGGAACUGCAUUUGUGACUGUAUAGCUAGAGUACGGUAGAGGGGGAUGGAAUUCCGCGUGUAGCAAUGAAAUGCGUAGAUAUGCGGAGGAACACCGAUGGCGAAGGCAAUCCCCUGGACCUGUACUGACGCUCAUGCACGAAAGCGUGGGGAGCAAACAGG
Molecule: ribosomal RNA, 253 nt
Filed under: uncultured bacterium
Lineage: Bacteria
Description: partial 16S ribosomal RNA
Rfam family: Bacterial small subunit ribosomal RNA
Source: RNAcentral